Molecule: long non-coding RNA, 794 nt
Organism: Medicago truncatula (barrel medic)
Lineage: Eukaryota; Viridiplantae; Streptophyta; Magnoliopsida; Fabales; Fabaceae
Exons: 3
Source: RefSeq, a predicted model, not a curated record
UAUUGUGAGCCAUAGUUGGAUGCUAUUCUCAUUUUUGGAUGUCAUAUUUACUGGUUUCCAUUAGAGGUCAUACUCAUGGGGUUGAGUUUUAUAUUUCAGGUGAAACAGUACAUGAUUACGCCUACCCCAGCACAUUCAGAGAGGAAGACCAUCACCCAUGUUGGAAGGGAGGCAGAAUUAAUGCCUCUAUGAAGUUUGAUAGGGAUUUGAGCUAUAGCCCUACACAGUCUAAGUUAGACUUAGAAUUCGUGAUGAUAAUGUCCUUGUCUGCACAAGAGGCAGCCACAUUCUGCUCAAGCAUUUUCUGAAGUGAAAGCCAUCCUAGAGGAAGUUGAAGAAGCAACAGAGGAAGGCUUCACUAUACUAUGUCUUAUUAUUGUCUAGAUAUUGAGCAACAUAUCUAUACAUAUCCCAUCAUCAUACACUGUGCUAAGAGAAACCGAGAUAUUGGCCUAAGGUCUGACUAGAGGAGAGGAUAACGGAAUCAUACAUGAUUACAAGUGAAAUCAGACAUUUGAAGUGUUCAAGAAGCUGUUCAGCCGCCAUUGCUGUCUUUUUGGCUAAAAUCUCGUUUGUUGGUUCCAUAAAAACGAUGUUUAGAAUGAUCAAAAGGAAGAAGAAAGUCUUCCAGCUGAGGGAAAAGAAAGUAUACUUUGUGGGAUGUUAAGUCAGAAGUUCAAAAGGGUGGCUCCAUAAAAAUGGAACUAAAAAUUAUUAUUUAUUGAUAUUGAUCAUGUUUCAAAUUAUCUUUUACAUAGCUUCUGAUUCGGUUUAUUUCAUUUUAUAAAUUCAAA